This 381-nucleotide unclassified non-coding RNA is filed under the name uncultured bacterium. Its description in RNAcentral is "contains 16S-23S intergenic spacer region". The stretch from base 1 to 123 matches the Rfam family "5.8S ribosomal RNA", at positions 30 to 154 of the family's 154-position model. The record is from RNAcentral.
GCAUCGAUGAAGAACGCAGCGAAGUGCGAUAAGCAAUGCGAAUUGCAGAACCGUGAGUCAUCAGAUUUUUGAACGCAACUGGCGCUGGCUGGAUCUCCAGCCAGCAUGCUUGUUUCAGUGUCUUGUUUUCUCCUCACCCAAAGCUUAAUGCGAGAGAUACCCUUCUCUUGCCAAGCACGAAAGCACUCUGCGCUCUGCGAGCGGCUUCUUGACUAGCUCAAGGGUCGCACUCAAUGCAGCCGUCACAUUUCUCACAAUGUGAACUCAUUGAGAGCAGAGGCUGUCAGCUCACGCUGUCAGUGCUUAGUCACUUAAACUUUCUUUGCAUCUGAAAUCAAGCAGGAUCACCCGCUGAACUUAAGCAUAUCAAUAAGCGGAGGA